GGGUCAGUAGGUUGGUCGUGCCACCGGUACGUACUGGUCUCACUGAUUCCUCCUUCCUGAAGAACCGUAAUGCCAUUAAUUUGGUGUUGCGGGGAAACAGGACUGUUACUUCGAAAGAAUUAGAGUGUUUAAAGCAAGCUAACGCUUGAAUACAUUAGCAUGGAAUAAUGAAAUAGGACGAUCGAUCCUAUUUUGUUGGUUUCUAGGAUUGACGUA
This 216-nucleotide ribosomal RNA is filed under the name Glomeromycotina sp. RNAcentral's name for it is "partial small subunit ribosomal RNA". The stretch from base 40 to 216 matches the Rfam family "Eukaryotic small subunit ribosomal RNA", at positions 686 to 864 of the family's 1831-position model. Lineage: Eukaryota; Fungi; Glomeromycota. The record is from RNAcentral.